RNAcentral lists this ribosomal RNA (452 nucleotides) under uncultured bacterium. RNAcentral's name for it is "bacterial SSU rRNA". It matches the Rfam family "Bacterial small subunit ribosomal RNA", at positions 29 to 524 of the family's 1533-position model. The record is from RNAcentral.
AACGAACGCUGGCGGCAGGCCUAACACAUGCAAGUCGAACGCUCGUAGCAAUACGAGAGUGGCAGACGGGUGAGUAACACGUGGGAACCUUCCCUUCGGUCGGGAAUAGCUCAGGGAAACUUGAGGUAAUACCGGAUACGCCCUUACGGGGAAAGAUUUAUCGCCGAAGGAUGGGCCCGCGUCGGAUUAGCUAGUUGGUGAGGUAACGGCUCACCAAGGCGACGAUCCGUAGCUGGUCUGAGAGGAUGAUCAGCCACACUGGGACUGAGACACGGCCCAGACUCCUACGGGAGGCAGCAGUGGGGAAUAUUGGACAAUGGGCGCAAGCCUGAUCCAGCCAUGCCGCGUGAGUGACGAAGGCCUUAGGGUUGUAAAGCUCUUUUGGCGGGGAAGAUAAUGACGGUACCCGCAGAAUAAGCUCCGGCUAACUUCGUGCCAGCAGCCGCAGUAAG